AGAGUUUGAUCCUGGCUCAGAUUGAACGCUGGCGGCGGGCUUAACACAUGCAAGUCGAGCGGGGGAGAUUGCUUCGGUAAUUGACCUAGCGGCGGACGGGUGAGUAAUACUUAGGAAUCUGCCUAUUAAUGGGGGACAACAUCUCGAAAGGGAUGCUAAUACCGCAUACGCCCUACGGGGGAAAGCAGGGGAUCACUUGUGACCUUGCGUUAAUAGAUGAGCCUAAGUCGGAUUAGCUAGCUGGUGGGGUAAAGGCCUACCAAGGCGACGAUCUGUAGCGGGUCUGAGAGGAUGAUCCGCCACACUGGGACUGAGACACGGCCCAGACUCCUACGGGAGGCAGCAGUGGGGAAUAUUGGACAAUGGGGGGAACCCUGAUCCAGCCAUGCCGCGUGUGUGAAGAAGGCCUUAUGGUUGUAAAGCACUUUAAGCGAGGAGGAGGCUCUUCUAGUUAAUACCUAGGAUGAGUGGACGUUACUCGCAGAAUAAGCACCGGCUAACUCUGUGCCAGCAGCCGCGGUAAUACAGAGGGUGCGAGCGUUAAUCGGAUUUACUGGGCGUAAAGCGUGCGUAGGCGGCUUUUUAAGUCGGAUGUGAAAUCCCCGAGCUUAACUUGGGAAUUGCAUUCGAUACUGGGAAGCUAGAGUAUGGGAGAGGAUGGUAGAAUUCCAGGUGUAGCGGUGAAAUGCGUAGAGAUCUGGAGGAAUACCGAUGGCGAAGGCAGCCAUCUGGCCUAAUACUGACGCUGAGGUACGAAAGCAUGGGGAGCAAACAGGAUUAGAUACCCUGGUAGUCCAUGC
Molecule: ribosomal RNA, 800 nt
Filed under: uncultured bacterium
Lineage: Bacteria
Description: bacterial SSU rRNA
Rfam family: Bacterial small subunit ribosomal RNA
Source: RNAcentral